RNAcentral lists this long non-coding RNA (1272 nucleotides) under Pogona vitticeps (central bearded dragon). Its description in RNAcentral is "lncRNA (ENSPVIG00000018921.1)". The record is from RNAcentral. Lineage: Eukaryota; Metazoa; Chordata; Lepidosauria; Squamata; Agamidae.
CUCAGCUUCAGGAGAAUGUAGCAAUAUCACCAGGCUAAUAGGAGCAUUCACGAAAGUGGCUUCAAAAGCCAGCAGGUAAAAUAGUUCUCCCUAAGUGCUAGCUAUCUGUUACUCUUGUGUUACAACCACUCACUUGCUGCAGCUGGCAGAUUUUCGUUUCUGGCUUUCCUUUAGGUAGGCUGAAGGAAGAAGGCCUUUCAUUGCUACCUUUUGGCAGCCCUGUCGUUAUUUGGCUCCUUACGUGCGCAGGGAAAUCGUGUGAAGGCAAGGUUCCCAACCCAGAUCCAACGCAGGGAUCCUUCGUCCCGAGCCGGGAGUCUGCCAACGCGCGGAGGAAGACCAUCCAAGUCGAGGCUUGCCCCUGCUCGUUCACCCGCCGUCCCUCCCCUCAGCCGGAUGCCGGGAACAAGAGAAAGGGAGCGAUUGGGAGAUUCCGUUUUAAUACAUUGACUUCAGCCUAGCAUCGCCCCGUGUUGGUGCAGGAGACCCCGUCUGAACCCUAGGAAUUAAUCGGAACGCCUCCUCCCGUAAGGUAAUGCCACCCAGCAGCAGCACUUGCCCCUGCUCGUUCACCCGCCGUCCCUCCCCUCAGCCGGAUGCCGGGAACAAGAGAAAGGGAGCGAUUGGGAGAUUCCGUUUUAAUACAUUGACUUCAGCCUAGCAUCGCCCCGUGUUGGUGCAGGAGACCCCGUCUGAACCCUAGGAAUUAAUCGGAACGCCUCCUCCCGUAAGGUAAUGCCACCCAGCAGCAGCAGGACAGGAGNGCAGGCUCGGUGCGGACUCGCACGGAAAGCAUAAGCCGGGAGAAGUCCUCGAUCGUGCCUCCGGGGGAGGGCAGCGUGGAUGCCGUCCAGGCGCGCUGCUCCGUUGGCUUCCCUUCCGUAGAGAAUGUCUGGGUUCGGCGAAAAGGGAAGGGAUGCUUUCCUGUCUCACAUCCCAUUCAGAUGUUGCCGAACGGAGGAGGUGGAUUCGUGCGGGGCCAGUUGAAGAAAAGUGCGGCUUGCUCGCGGUGUCGGAAAAAAGCAGAAUCAUGUGACAUUUGAAAGAUAGUACAAGUGUGUUGUGGAAGUAGCAAGUUAAUCCGGAAAAUGGUAGCGUGUUUUCUGUGGCUAGUUGAAAUGUGCAACCAGCAGCAUUGUUUUUCCCACCCCCCAAGAAACAUACCACCUGCCCCCCCAGUUUUCAGAUGUAGCACAAGUGAGGGCUGAGGAUCAUCGCUAUGUGGCUAUCCAAUAGAUGCCCACCGGAUUUUGGCAAGAUGUGGAUGAGUUU